Molecule: RNA transcript, 693 nt
Organism: Macrobrachium nipponense
Lineage: Eukaryota; Metazoa; Arthropoda; Malacostraca; Decapoda; Palaemonidae
Gene name: U-scoloptoxin(01)-Cw1a-like
Exons: 4
Source: RefSeq, a predicted model, not a curated record
ACUGUAUGUCCUCCCGGUUGAAGUAAUCGUUGAUGUUAUACAAGGUGGCUGCAGCUUCGCAGGGCAGAGAAUUCUCGGGGAAAUUGCAGGUCAAGGACGACUGGAAAGGAGAAAGAGACAUCGCAGUGUCUUCGGCGUGACCUCCUCCGCCCUUCCACGACUCGUCAGGAGAGACUCGACUCCUCUCGUCUACGAACUGCCUUCCAACGCCUCCCUCGUCCUGGGCCAGAUCAGGAAUGGAUUCGACUGUGCCAACCGUCCAUACGGUUAUUACGCCGACCAAGCCAAUGGCUGCGCCGUGUUUCACGUGUGUUACCCUUACGUCGACCCCGAAGGGAAUUCCUUCACCAGGAUGUUUUCUUUCCUCUGUGGCCAAGGAUCCGUUUUUGAUCAGUCAACGCUAACUUGCAAUUUCCCAGAAUUGGCUCUUCCGUGCGAUGCUGCAGCGACAUAUUACAACAUCAACGACUACUUUGGGAGAGAAAACGUUCAGUUUAGGGAUGGAUCCGUCAAUGGAAUCUUUUAGAAAAUGUGAACCAAAUGUAUUAUCCGCUGGUUGUACCAUGUUAUAACACUAUUCCUGAACUGUAUACGUGUGUGUGUGUGAGUGUGUGUUUAUUCUGUAGUCUUGUGUGUCUGGUUGCGCGAAUGCGUGUACAUGCAAGGAGUUUGUGUACAUGUGUGCUUUGAUUC